UUUUCCUUUAGUUGAGUUUGUCUCCUAAGCAAACUUUUGCCAUGCCAAGACCUUGAACUUAUCAAACACAUUUGUUUGUGGCGUUUUAAGGCUCAUCACCAUUGAUGUGACGCUUUAACCUAAGUUCUUAUUAAGAAUCCUUUUUUGUGAUGAACCUCAUUAGCUUAUCAAGCAACCUUGCUUGUGGUGCCUCCAUCAUUUUAUUCCUUAACCAUUUCCCUUAUCCAUACACAAACAGUGGCCAAGCCAAAUCACAAUUGUGCCCAUACACCUAGCCCCUGCACAAGUCGUGGCCAAGCCACACACACAACCAACCCAAUUGUGACCAUACACAUAACCUAUACACCAAAGCUGAAACAAAAGCCAUACAAAAGUCAUGACUAAACAAAUCUACUCCACAAACACUUUGAAUUCAUUUUCAAUCAAAAGAAACGAUCCAAAAGAAGACGACCUUAAGAAGUUGUCAUCAAGUUAGUUGUGAUUGACAUGUGAAUUGGAUAGGGUCUAAGACCAUGAGAAUGAUUGGUCAAGCUUGUUUGUAGAGGAAACUUCUACCCUAUUUGAACAAGGAGCUUAUGUAAAUGAAGUUAAGAGGAAAAC
RNAcentral lists this long non-coding RNA (600 nucleotides) under Lupinus angustifolius (narrow-leaved blue lupine). Its description in RNAcentral is "long non-coding RNA (LANG_LNC000690)". Lineage: Eukaryota; Viridiplantae; Streptophyta; Magnoliopsida; Fabales; Fabaceae. The record is from RNAcentral.